AUUGAACGCUAGCGGCAUGCUUUACACAUGCAAGUCGAACGAGUGGCGGACGGGUGAGUAAUAUAUCGGAACGUGCCCAGUAGCGGGGGAUAACUACUCGAAAGAGUGGCUAAUACCGCAUACUAUUGGGGCGGCCGAUAUGGGAUUAGCUAGUGGGUGGGGUAAAGGCUCACCAAGGCGACGAUCCGUAGCUGGUUUGAGAGGAUGACCAGCCACACUGGGACUGAGACACGGCCCAGACUCCUACGGGAGGCAGCAGUGGGGAAUAUUGCACAAUGGGCGAAAGCCUGAUGCAGCCAUGCCGCGUGUAUGAGAAGGCCUUCGGGUUGUAAAGUACUUUCAGCAGGGAGGCGGUAUCGGCAGAAGAAGCACCGGCUAACUACGUGCCAGCAGCCGCGGUAAUAC
RNAcentral lists this ribosomal RNA (405 nucleotides) under uncultured bacterium. RNAcentral's name for it is "partial 16S ribosomal RNA". It matches the Rfam family "Bacterial small subunit ribosomal RNA", at positions 30 to 526 of the family's 1533-position model. The record is from RNAcentral.